Molecule: unclassified non-coding RNA, 365 nt
Filed under: Hevea brasiliensis (rubber tree)
Lineage: Eukaryota; Viridiplantae; Streptophyta; Magnoliopsida; Malpighiales; Euphorbiaceae
Source: RNAcentral
AAAUCAAGACUCUCCCCAAUGAUUUUGCCAUUGUGUUCCAAAGCUGGCACCCUAUUAACAGAGUAAACUUUCUCCCCAUACCAAGAAGGCCUACUUUGAAGGUUUAAAGGAACAAGGUGGAUUUUGUCUUGUAAUCCCUUAUAGUUCCUAGUGAUCCACACACGCUGUGCAAAUGGACAUGUGUAUGAAGUGUACAGCCUUGUGGUUCCGUCGAAGAGUGGAGGUUGGUCUGCAGUAGCAUCCAACACCGGAGGCAAAUUCUCUGGCACGCUCUUAUCUAAUAAAGCCAUUUGCUUCUUUGAUCAGCGAAGACUUGAGACUGCAAUGUGUCUUCUGUGCAACGCGGGAGGGUUAGUGAUAUGGUA